Molecule: ribosomal RNA, 1372 nt
Filed under: uncultured bacterium
Lineage: Bacteria
Description: bacterial SSU rRNA
Rfam family: Bacterial small subunit ribosomal RNA
Source: RNAcentral
GAUGAACGCUGGCGGCGUGCCUAAUACAUGCAAGUCGAGCGAACGGACGAGAAGCUUGCUUCUCUGAUGUUAGCGGCGGACGGGUGAGUAACACGUGGAUAACCUACCUAUAAGACUGGGAUAACUUCGGGAAACCGGAGCUAAUACCGGAUGAUAUUUUGAACCGCAUGGUUCAAAAGUGAAAGACGGUCUUGCUGUCACUUAUAGAUGGAUCCGCGCUGCAUUAGCUAGUUGGUAAGGUAACGGCUUACCAAGGCAACGAUGCAUAGCCGACCUGAGAGGGUGAUCGGCCACACUGGAACUGAGACACGGUCCAGACUCCUACGGGAGGCAGCAGUAGGGAAUCUUCCGCAAUGGGCGAAAGCCUGACGGAGCAACGCCGCGUGAGUGAUGAAGGUCUUCGGAUCGUAAAACUCUGUUAUUAGGGAAGAACAUAUGUGUAAGUAACUGUGCACAUCUUGACGGUACCUAAUCAGAAAGCCACGGCUAACUACGUGCCAGCAGCCGCGGUAAUACGUAGGUGGCAAGCGUUAUCCGGAAUUAUUGGGCGUAAAGCGCGCGUAGGCGGUUUUUUAAGUCUGAUGUGAAAGCCCACGGCUCAACCGUGGAGGGUCAUUGGAAACUGGAAAACUUGAGUGCAGAAGAGGAAAGUGGAAUUCCAUGUGUAGCGGUGAAAUGCGCAGAGAUAUGGAGGAACACCAGUGGCGAAGGCGACUUUCUGGUCUGUAACUGACGCUGAUGUGCGAAAGCGUGGGGAUCAAACAGGAUUAGAUACCCUGGUAGUCCACGCCGUAAACGAUGAGUGCUAAGUGUUAGGGGGUUUCCGCCCCUUAGUGCUGCAGCUAACGCAUUAAGCACUCCGCCUGGGGAGUGCGACCGCAAGGUUGAAACUCAAAGGAAUUGACGGGGACCCGCACAAGCGGUGGAGCAUGUGGUUUAAUUCGAAGCAACGCGAAGAACCUUACCAAAUCUUGACAUCCUUUGACAACUCUAGAGAUAGAGCCUUCCCCUUCGGGGGACAAAGUGACAGGUGGUGCAUGGUUGUCGUCAGCUCGUGUCGUGAGAUGUUGGGUUAAGUCCCGCAACGAGCGCAACCCUUAAGCUUAGUUGCCAUCAUUAAGUUGGGCACUCUAAGUUGACUGCCGGUGACAAACCGGAGGAAGGUGGGGAUGACGUCAAAUCAUCAUGCCCCUUAUGAUUUGGGCUACACACGUGCUACAAUGGACAAUACAAAGGGCAGCGAAACCGCGAGGUCAAGCAAAUCCCAUAAAGUUGUUCUCAGUUCGGAUUGUAGUCUGCAACUCGACUACAUGAAGCUGGAAUCGCUAGUAAUCGUAGAUCAGCAUGCUACGGUGAAUACGUUCCCGGGUCU